GACGAACGCUGGCGGCGUGCUUAACACAUGCAAUUCAAACGGAAAGGCCCUUCGGGGUACUCGAGUGGCGAACGGGUGAGUAACACGUGGGUGAUCUGCCCUGCACUUUGGGAUAAGCCUGGGAAACUGGGUCUAAUACCGAAUACACCUCUCCGGCUGCAUGGUUGGUGGGGGAAAGCUUUUGCGGUGUGGGAUGGGCCCGCGGCCUAUCAGCUUGUUGGUGAGGUUACGGCUCACCAAGGCGACGACGGGUAGCCGGCCUGAGAGGGUGACCGGCCACACUGGGACUGAGAUACGGCCCAGACUCCUACGGGAGGCAGCAGUGGGGAAUAUUGCACAAUGGGCGCAAGCCUGAUGCAGCGACGCCGCGUGGGGGAUGACGGCCUUCGGGUUGUAAACUCCUUUCAGCACAGACGAAGCGCAAGUGACGGUAUGUGCAGAAGAAGGACCGGCCAACUACGUGCCAGCAGCCGCGGUAAUACGUAGGGUCCGAGCGUUGUCCGGAAUUACUGGGCGUAAAGAGCUCGUAGGUGGUUUGUCGCGUUGUUCGUGAAAACUCACAGCUUAACUGUGGGCGUGCGGGCGAUACGGGCAGACUUGAGUACUGCAGGGGAGACUGGAAUUCCUGGUGUAGCGGUGGAAUGCGCAGAUAUCAGGAGGAACACCGGUGGCGAAGGCGGGUCUCUGGGCAGUAACUGACGCUGAGGAGCGAAAGCGUGGGGAGCGAACAGGAUUAGAUACCCUGGUAGUCCACGCCGUAAACGGUGGGUACUAGGUGUGGGUUUCCUUCCUUGGGAUCCGUGCCGUAGCUAACGCAUUAAGUACCCCGCCUGGGGAGUACGGCCGCAAGGCUAAAACUCAAAGAAAUUGACGGGGGCCCGCACAAGCGGCGGAGCAUGUGGAUUAAUUCGAUGCAACGCGAAGAACCUUACCUGGGUUUGACAUGCACAGGACGCUGGUAGAGAUAUCAGUUCCCUUGUGGCCUGUGUGCAGGUGGUGCAUGGCUG
This 1007-nucleotide ribosomal RNA is filed under the name uncultured Actinomycetes bacterium. RNAcentral describes it as "bacterial SSU rRNA". It matches the Rfam family "Bacterial small subunit ribosomal RNA", at positions 28 to 1051 of the family's 1533-position model. Lineage: Bacteria; Bacillati; Actinomycetota; Actinomycetes. The record is from RNAcentral.